This is a long non-coding RNA of Coffea arabica (coffee), 196 nucleotides long. RefSeq lists it as uncharacterized. NCBI's taxonomy places the organism in Eukaryota, Viridiplantae, Streptophyta, Magnoliopsida, Gentianales, Rubiaceae. The record is from RefSeq and is a predicted model, not a curated record.
GCCAUUGACUCUUGUGCUGACCAUCUUUGUGUUUUGGCAUGUUUAUCUUAUUCUGCAAAACAAGACCACAAUAGAGUACCAUGAAGGUGUGAGAGCUAUGUGGCUUGCUGAAAAAGGAGGUUAUCUGUAUUCACAUCCAUAUGAUCUUGGUGCUUAUGAGAAUAUGAUAUCAGUUUUAGGACCACAUAUCUUUUGC